Molecule: transfer RNA, 74 nt
Filed under: Myotis lucifugus (little brown bat)
Lineage: Eukaryota; Metazoa; Chordata; Mammalia; Chiroptera; Vespertilionidae
Rfam family: tRNA
About the family: Transfer RNA (tRNA) molecules are approximately 80 nucleotides in length. Their secondary structure includes four short double-helical elements and three loops (D, anti-codon, and T loops). Further hydrogen bonds mediate the characteristic L-shaped molecular structure. tRNAs have two regions of fundamental functional importance: the anti-codon, which is responsible for specific mRNA codon recognition, and the 3' end, to which the tRNAs corresponding amino acid is attached (by aminoacyl-tRNA synthetases). tRNAs cope with the degeneracy of the genetic code in two manners: having more than one tRNA (with a specific anti-codon) for a particular amino acid; and 'wobble' base-pairing, i.e. permitting non-standard base-pairing at the 3rd anti-codon position.
Source: Rfam by way of RNAcentral
GCCAAUAUGGCUCAGUUGGUCAGAGCGUCGUCCAGUGCACCAAAAGGUCACAGGUUCAAUUCCUGAUCAGGGCA